UACGGGGGGGGCAAGCGUUGUUCGGAAUUACUGGGCGUAAAGGGCUCGUAGGCGGCCAACUAAGUCACACGUGAAAUCCCUCGGCUCAACCGGGGAACUGCGUGUGUGACUGGAUGGCUUGAGUUUGGGAGAGGAAUGCGGAAUUCCAGGUGUAGCGGUGAAAUGCGUAGAUAUCCGGAGGAACACCGGUGGCGAAGGCGGCUUCCUGGACCGACACUGACGCUGAGGCGCGAAAGCUAGGGUAGCAAACGGG
Molecule: ribosomal RNA, 253 nt
Filed under: uncultured bacterium
Lineage: Bacteria
Description: partial 16S ribosomal RNA
Rfam family: Bacterial small subunit ribosomal RNA
Source: RNAcentral